ACACCUCAACUCUCACGGUUCGCCGUGAUGAGCUUGGACUUUGGGGGUCUUGCUGGCCUGUGGUCAGCUCCUCUCAAAUGAAUUAGCUUGCCAGUGUUUGGUGGCAUCACGGGUGUGAUAACUAUCUACGCUUGUGGUUUCCCACCAGGUAACCUUCAGUGAUGAAGGUUCGCUGGGGCUCAUAAAUGUGUCUCUCCUCAGCGAGGGACAGCUCUUUGAAU
RNAcentral lists this unclassified non-coding RNA (221 nucleotides) under uncultured Thelephoraceae. Its description in RNAcentral is "sequence contains ITS2". The record is from RNAcentral. Lineage: Eukaryota; Fungi; Basidiomycota; Agaricomycetes; Thelephorales; Thelephoraceae.